Molecule: ribosomal RNA, 489 nt
Filed under: uncultured bacterium
Lineage: Bacteria
Description: bacterial SSU rRNA
Rfam family: Bacterial small subunit ribosomal RNA
Source: RNAcentral
GAUGAACGCUAGCGACAGGCCUAACACAUGCAAGUCGAGGGGCAGCACGGUGUAGCAAUACACGGGUGGCGACCGGCGCACGGGUGAGUAACGCGUAUGCAACCUGCCUACUACAAGGGGAUAACCCGUUGAAAGACGGACUAAUACCCUAUAACACAGGGAAUCCGCAUGGAUAUAUUUGUUAAAGAUUUAUCGGUAGUAGAUGGGCAUGCGUUCCAUUAGCUUGUUGGUGAGGUAACGGCUCACCAAGGCAACGAUGGAUAGGGGAACUGAGAGGUUGAUCCCCCACACUGGAACUGAGACACGGUCCAGACUCCUACGGGAGGCAGCAGUGAGGAAUAUUGGUCAAUGGACGAGAGUCUGAACCAGCCAAGUCGCGUGAAGGAAGACGGCCCUACGGGUUGUAAACUUCUUUUGUAAGGGAAUAAAUAGUCUUACGCGCUAAGACGUUGCAGGUACCUUACGAAUAAGGAUCGGCUAACCUCCGUG